UUUCUAUAAAUACGUGCGCGCAGAGAACCGACGUUUUAUUAUAGUUUUCAUCAACAGAUUAGCCCCUUUGGAACCAUCGAUACUCGAGAAUCGAGAUUCACAGACAGUUUAUGGCCCUCAUAAAAGAAUCUAUUUGGUGUUUUCCGACUUUGGCCGACGGAGCCUGAAGCAAGUCGAACAAAGAGUUGUAUCCUCUGUAGCCAGGAAUUUUGACGACGGCUAGGAACAAUGUAAGACUGGUCCGUUUCCAGAGUCGUAUCUGUCAUUCGAUGUACACGUGGGCUAGCUCAAAACAGGGAAAUCGAGUUCUAGGAUUGGGGCUGUUUAAUGCGUGCUGUGAACUAUAUGAAGAACAUCAUUGUGUUAACGCACACAUUGUUAUACAACGUCGCCAAACUUUUUUAUUAUAUUUAACCGUAAGUCAAUUAUUGAUCGUAAUCGCCAUUGUAUGUGUUAUCGUCAUCAUCGUCUCGACACCAUUUAUUGGUUCAAUAUCUAAUUUUGACUGUUAUCUUAGUCCAAAAUAUAUCAUAAAAAAUCUUGAAAAACGGAAGGAAUGUGGUAAAACGACAUGUGUCAACGGAAAAAAUACAAUUGAUUCAAGGUUGAAAAAAACGGCCUAUUUCAUUACAAAGAGAUACAAACAAAACCUUAUUGAAAUGUAAAAAGUGCAAGAAAUAACUAUUAUUUUUCUUGAUUUAUUUUUAUUGAGCCAAAGACUCAAUUCUUUACACAUUUAUGGCGCAUGCAAAAGGAAAAAGUGACAUAAGACAUAGGUACAUACCCGAUUCAAUUUUCUAAUAUUUCUAAUAUUACUCUCAGUUCACGUUUCGUCGGAUCAGUUUUUUGAACCACGUUCUUGAAUUUUUUUUCACAUCUCAAAUGCAUUUCAAUUUUUUCUACUUUCAAGUAUCAAAAAAUUACUGAUAAUAUAAUUAUCGUACAUAAUAUAUUAGAAAUUUUUAAAAUUUACUCUUCGUCAUUUUACAAGUUAAUUAAAAAUCAAGUUUAAAUUGCAUUGAUAGAAAUAUAAAUAGUUUCCAAAGAAAAUAAUUUAUUUAUUUGGUUACUUUGCUUAAAAUAUUAAAUUUGAUAUUAAAUUGAAAGUAGAAAAGAACUAAUGUAAUUUUGAUAAGCUUGGCUCUAUAUACUAUAUAUGGGAUGGAAAAAUCGACGUCAAUCGUUGCAAUGUACACAGAAUUAAAAGUUAUAUUUAUUAAGAUAACGAUAAUGAAUCGUUAGUUGCUUUCUGUUAUGUGUAGAUAUUUACGAAUAGAUUUAGGAAUAUACGGAUGGGAAAAAAUGGAGUUUGUAUAUGGACGUUAUUGUAACGUAUUUAAGAUAUUUAUUUCUUUCUAAGGCACAUUUUUAUAUUAAUCUUAUAUUUAUAUUUUCUAUUAUACUCAGAUAUUGUAAAUAUUAAUAACUUAUUAGUUCAGAUAAGUGUAGAUGCAGAUGAAUAUAAUAACUUAUAUGGAAUUUUAAAAAUAUAGCAAAAUAAGACACACGUAAUCUUGUCUGCCUUGUCGUUGCAUAAGGAAAUAAAAAGGUAGAUAAAAAAUAAAGAGAAAGAUUGUGCGGCAAAUUAAAUGGGGAUAAUGUCGAGAUCAAAAAUCAAUCGUAGUACACAUUUUGAAUGUUAAUGGAAUGCAUAAAACAAACAAAAUAAAACAACAAAAUAAAAGAGUGCAUAUAA
Long non-coding RNA from Cataglyphis hispanica, 1696 nucleotides. RefSeq lists it as uncharacterized. The transcript is spliced from 2 exons. The record is from RefSeq and is a predicted model, not a curated record. Lineage: Eukaryota; Metazoa; Arthropoda; Insecta; Hymenoptera; Formicidae.